Long non-coding RNA from Portunus trituberculatus (swimming crab), 696 nucleotides. RefSeq lists it as uncharacterized. The record is from RefSeq and is a predicted model, not a curated record. NCBI's taxonomy places the organism in Eukaryota, Metazoa, Arthropoda, Malacostraca, Decapoda, Portunidae. The transcript has 2 exons.
GGCGGGACAAGCGGCGGCGGCUGACGCGAGCCUUGCUGUGUUAUUGUUGACCAGCGAUGCUAACGAUUCGCUACAUUUCUGGCUCUAUCCGCUACAUCUUGCGAAGACCCCACCACCUCCACUGCAGAGUUGACUUACCGUCCUGGAAUUGUCAGGAUGGAGGGACUGCAAAGUGCGGCGCAGGUAGCUGUACAGCCCAAGCAUUGGAAGGAAGUCAAUAUCCGUGAGGAAGAUGUAAGGUGUGUUUACCUGCUGUACCCCAACAUUGCGCAGGAAAUUCACUGGAAAGAAAUUCUGAGGAAGAAAGAACAUUCAAUCAGACAAUCUUAAGAGAACACAGCAUUUUGAUCUUAACACAUAAAGAUCAUUAGUCAAUUAGAUAAUUUUAUAGUUGAGUAUUUUGAUAUAAAAAAAGAUCAUUACAUUUUAUUUCAUUUGCAUUGAACUUAAGACUCACACAACAUACUUCAUAAAGGGGAGGGCACUGUCACAUGACUGAUACAAUAUAGGAUGCUUAAUCAACUAGCACAUAUAAAAUAUAAAGAAUAAACAUUACACACCUAUAAUCUAGCACCUGAACUAUCAUGGUUAUAAUCUUUCAGUGUGUACUUGUAUUUGCCAUAGGCACUAGGUCCAGCUUAUUCAUUCAAAUAUGUUUCUGUGUACUAUCAAUAUCACUUGUAUCUGACAACACAA